UACGGGGGGGGCAAGCGUUGUUCGGAAUUACUGGGCGUAAAGGGCUCGUAGGUGGCCAACUAAGUCGGCGGUGAAAUCCCACGGCUCAACCGUGGACAAGCCUUCGAAACUGUGAAGCUUGAGGCUGGGAGAGGAAAUCGGAAUUCCUGGUGUAGCGGUGAAAUGCGUAGAUAUCAGGAGGAACACCGGUGGCGAAGGCGGAUUUCUGGACCAGUUCUGACACUGAUGAGCGAAAGCCAGGGGAGCAAACAGG
This 253-nucleotide ribosomal RNA is filed under the name uncultured bacterium. RNAcentral describes it as "partial 16S ribosomal RNA". It matches the Rfam family "Bacterial small subunit ribosomal RNA", at positions 524 to 776 of the family's 1533-position model. The record is from RNAcentral.